This 95-nucleotide microRNA precursor is filed under the name Propithecus coquereli (Coquerel's sifaka). Its description in RNAcentral is "microRNA 346 (ENSPCOG00000002934.1)". It matches the Rfam family "mir-346 microRNA precursor family". Lineage: Eukaryota; Metazoa; Chordata; Mammalia; Primates; Indriidae. The record is from Rfam by way of RNAcentral.
GGUCUCUGUGUUGGGCGUCUGUCUGCCCGCAUGCCUGCCUCUCUGUUGCUCUGAAGGAGGCAGGGGCUGGGCCUGCAGCUGCCUGCGCAGAGCGG